CAUUUUGCAAUACUCGGACUGAAGAUAAGAGAGAAGUAGAGAGAAAGCGAGAGAAAAAAAGAGAAAGAGUGAGAAGAAAGUGGAUAUUUUGUCUUUUUUAUUUUAUUUUUGGAGAUGACAAUAGGGUUAAAAUGGUCAUAGAAAUAAUGAGCUAAAUAUUAAAUUUUGGUAGUCAUAAACUUAGUAAAAAUUUUAUCUGAUCCUAUGAAGCGUAG
RNAcentral lists this long non-coding RNA (215 nucleotides) under Capsella rubella. RNAcentral's name for it is "long non-coding RNA (CRUB_LNC001586)". Lineage: Eukaryota; Viridiplantae; Streptophyta; Magnoliopsida; Brassicales; Brassicaceae. The record is from RNAcentral.